ACGCUGGCGGCAGGCCUAACACAUGCAAGUCGAGCGGUAGAGAGAAGCUUGCUUCUCUUGAGAGCGGCGGACGGGUGAGUAAUGCCUAGGAAUCUGCCUGGUAGUGGGGGAUAACGUUCGGAAACGGACGCUAAUACCGCAUACGUCCUACGGGAGAAAGCAGGGGACCUUCGGGCCUUGCGCUAUCAGAUGAGCCUAGGUCGGAUUAGCUAGUUGGUGGGGUAAUGGCUCACCAAGGCGACGAUCCGUAACUGGUCUGAGAGGAUGAUCAGUCACACUGGAACUGAGACACGGUCCAGACUCCUACGGGAGGCAGCAGUGGGGAAUAUUGGACAAUGGGCGAAAGCCUGAUCCAGCCAUGCCGCGUGUGUGAAGAAGGUCUUCGGAUUGUAAAGCACUUUAAGUUGGGAGGAAGGGCAGUAAAUUAAUACUUUGCUGUUUUGACGUUACCGACAGAAUAAGCACCGGCUAACUCUGUGCCAGCAGCCGCGGUAAUACAGAGGGGUGCAAGCGUUAAUCGGAAUUACUGGGCGUAAAGCGCGCGUAGGUGGUUCGUUAAGUUGGAUGUGAAAUCCCCGGGCUCAACCUGGGAACUGCAUUCAAAACUGACGAGCUAGAGUAUGGUAGAGGGUGGUGGAAUUUCCUGUGUGGCGGUGAAAUGCGUAGAUAUAGGAAGGAACACCAGUGGCGAAGGCGACCACCUGGACUGAUACUGACACUGAGGUGCGAAAGCGUGGGGAGCAAAC
RNAcentral lists this ribosomal RNA (746 nucleotides) under uncultured bacterium. RNAcentral describes it as "bacterial SSU rRNA". It matches the Rfam family "Bacterial small subunit ribosomal RNA", at positions 33 to 773 of the family's 1533-position model. The record is from RNAcentral.